GGCUCCGUAGUUCAAUGGAUAGAACGAGGGACUUCUAAUCCCUAGAUCAAGGUUCGAUUCCUUGCGGAGUCA
Molecule: transfer RNA, 72 nt
Filed under: Candidatus Magasanikbacteria bacterium RIFOXYB2_FULL_38_10
Lineage: Bacteria; Candidatus Magasanikiibacteriota
Description: tRNA-Arg
Rfam family: tRNA
About the family: Transfer RNA (tRNA) molecules are approximately 80 nucleotides in length. Their secondary structure includes four short double-helical elements and three loops (D, anti-codon, and T loops).
Source: RNAcentral